CAGAGUUGCAAAACUCCCACAAACCAUCGCGAAUCUUACCCGUACGGUUGCCUCGGCGCUGGCGGUCCGGAAGGCCCUCGGGCCCCCGGAUCCUCGGGUCUCCCGCUCGCGGGAGGCUGCCCGCCGGAGUGCCGAUAACUAACUCUUGAUAUCUUAUGUCUCUCUGAGUACACUUUUAAAUAAGUCA
This 187-nucleotide unclassified non-coding RNA is filed under the name soil metagenome. Its description in RNAcentral is "partial internal transcribed spacer 1". The record is from RNAcentral.